This 4612-nucleotide long non-coding RNA is filed under the name Olea europaea subsp. europaea. The record is from RNAcentral. Lineage: Eukaryota; Viridiplantae; Streptophyta; Magnoliopsida; Lamiales; Oleaceae.
AAGAAAUUCGAUAGUGUAACAGAUGAUUCCAGAAUUCCAAGAAUGAUAGCCUAAGAAAUGUGCAAGCAACUUAGAGUGGAUAUCAUUUGCACAUUUUUUGAAUCAUCAAAUGUGAGUUUUGUUUAUCAAAAUAUACAUGGCGUAUCGAUAACUAUAACAAAACAAAUUGCUGAAUAAUUAUACAUUCUUGUAUUUUCAGAUAGAGGUACAUUUUAUGCUAAAUCUUAUAGAUGAUGAAUUGCUGGAGCUGUUUUGGAAGGAAUCUGGACCUUCUGAUGAUGAAGUGGAUCCUAAGCUGGAUAAUGUCACUUCUGAGGAUGAAGGCCAAGAAAAUCUGCAAGUGAUGAUGUACAAUCAAGUUUCGGCCGCCCACAAUGUCCUAAGACACCGGAUCGACCAUCUGUGUCUAGCCAUCUACAUUAAUCUAAAACAGCUAGAUGACCCUCACUUUCUUAUGACUAUAUCACUCAUUUACUAAAACAAGAAAUAAGAAGAGUUGAAGAGCGGGUGCGAGGUGAGAUGUCAGAGCGCUUCGAUCGAGUAGAAAGAAAAAUUAAUUUAUUUCUCCAAUUGACUGGUAGAGGUGGAGUUCAGUCUAAGAGAAGCGAAUUUGAUGAUCGAGCUUUUAGUACAACAAUCAACUAAACAAAGAGGCAAGAGAGCAACGUGAGGUGAUUAUUGAAGAAUGCUCUCAUGAAGAAGUCACGUCGAAUAAGCAAAACGAGGCUUUUCCUACAUAUGAUGAUGGUAUAUUCUCUUUUUUACUUUUUGCAAUAAACUACAAAUAAUUUUUAUGUUGGGUCCCAUUUGCGGGAUUUGUGCCAGAUCCUUCAUCCGUCAUAGUUGUGUACCAACAACAACCUUUAGUCUGGAUUGGAGCGUAUUUUUAGAUCGAAGAAGCUCGACAAGAUGAGGUAACAGAAAAGGCGGUUGGGCCGAAAGAGGAUUCAAACAUAUUAACAAAGGUAAAAUUAUUUUACAUUCCAAUAUUUCAGUUUUCAAUAUUGUGUGUUAAAAUGGAUUGAAUUGUGUUUCAUCAACUUUUAUAGACGAUUUUGGGGAGCUUUCAACAUCUUCACAUGUUUUCCAGCCUAGUAAUAGAAUCAUUGAGAUUGAGGAUCUGAAUUCUGAGUUGACUGUAGGAAAGGGCAUCGAGUUAAGAGAAGAGCAACCGUGAUGCUUUCUCCAUACACUAAUCCCUUAAAGAGGAGAAAAAAUGUUGAAUAUUCAAGUAUAUGAUCCUUUAAGAAAAGUAGAUCCUGCAAAAGUUGAAGACCUCAAUAAGUGGUUGGCAAAUGCAUUGCAGAGGUGAUUUAUUUUAUUCCAGUGAAAAAUCAGAUUUCUUCUUUGUUAAUUUUCAAUAAAACUUUAAAUCUUCAGCUUAUAGCAUUAAUUGCCUUUGAAUUGCAUGCUAGACCUCUUCUUUAUGGUUUGUUUUGGUGUAUUAUACGGUCUGUCAUCCAAAACUAUAUAAGGUAGGUAAAAUAAAUGGUGGACUCAUAACUUGAUAAGAGUUUGAGUCAAAUAAUAAAUUCAAUUAUUCAAGUCUAAAAUGAGUAGACGUCUACUUGAACUUGCACUGGUUCAACUAUUGGCUCCCUCUAAAACGCAAGUCGUUUGUGUUGAUUAAGAUCAAUAGCAAAUUGGUUCCUAAACUUCUCAGUGGCAUAUCGAUAUCCUUUUUCCAUUCUUGUUCAAUUCAUUUCUUUUCCAACGCAUUCAAUUGAACCCUCCAAUUGUCAUUAUGUUCCCAGAAUCAUCUACUAAAUUUGUGCAAUUUAGUCUCUGAACUUUUGAUUUUUCUAUUUUGCCAUUUUCUCCAAUUCUAUUAAUUUACAUCUAACUUUAAUAACAAAUUAAAUUUAUAUAAAAUUAAGACUCAAUUUAUCCAAAUUAACAAUAAUUGAUCUAGUUCAAUGACUCAGAUAAGUGCAUAAAAAUAUAAAAUAGACUUAUCAAAUACCUCCAAACUUGAACAAUUAUUUGUCUGCUUAACUGAAACAAAAAUUUUCACAGACAUGGGUAGAUAAUCUGUAGCUAGGCUUAAAAUUGUAAAUUUUGAGUUAUACUAUGAAAUGCUUCAAAAUCACAUUACUAAAAUUAAUCUCUACUUAUCCAAUGCAAAACCAACAUGCACGCGUGAAGAUUUAUGUAAAAUAUCAGAGUCAUAAAUUGAUUCAAUUCUUGACCUUCAAUGGUUAAAUAUUUUAUUUCUUCACUUGUAAGGAAAAAAGUGAUCCUAGUUGCAUUGUCGACAAGUAAAUAUAGUCUUCUCCUGAUCUUUUGGUGCUAUAGCAAUCUGAUUAUAGCCUAAAUACUCAUCCAGAAAGUAGUAAUGUAAUUGUCAAACGAGUCUCUUUAACAUCUUAUCAAUGAAAGAAAGGAAAAAUGUGAUCCUUCCUAGCUGCAUUGUUGAGUUUGUGAUGGUCAAUAUAAACACUUCAAUCUAUGACUAUGCUCGGAGGAAUCAACUUGUUGUUUUCAUUAAGCAGCCUAUAAUUCCUCCAUUCUCUAGUACUACAUAUAUUGGGCUAACCUAAUUACUAUUUGAUAUAGGAUAUAUGUCCAAGAAUUCAAUAAUUUCAGUAUUUCUGCCUUCACAGCCUCCUGCAUAUUUGAAUUUAAUCUAAGAUGCCGCUCUAUUGACAAUUUAAACUCUUAUUCCAUCAAAAUUUUGUACAUAUAAGGAGAAGGGAUGAUCUCUUUUAUGUUAAAGAUAGUGCAUAUAAUUGCUGUUUUAUGAUCUCGAAGUUCCCUCAAUUGUUGAUCUUCUUCAUCUUUGUUAAGAACAUUUGAGAUGAUUAUGGGAGGUGUAUUUCUCUCUCCCAAGAAGGCAUACAGUAAGUGUGAAGGCAACUGUUUAAGUUCAUGAACUGGAGCUUUUUGAAUUGAUGGUAAAGGUAUUGUAGGGCCUUUACCUAGAUCUAACCGUGUCAGAUUCAAAAUUGGAAGAUUGCCUUUCAACUACUGAACACAUUUUUCUAUCUUUUAUUUAUUUAUUCAGAUGGUAGUUCUUUAGAAUAAACCAAUUGUGCCUCAAGUGGAUCUUAAGAAUGAUAAAUUUGUCUCCAUCAUUGCCGUAUUUAUUAUAUCAAUUGUAAAAAAGAAUCUGGUUCAUCAUCGAAUUUGAGUGCAUUGAAGAAGUUGAUGUUCGAUUCUUCACUAUUCAUCCUAAAGAUCAAUAGUUCAUUCUGCAUAUCAAUCAAUGCUCUAUCAAUAGUGAAAAAUGGAUGAUCUAGUAUGAAAGAGAUGUUUUGUCUUCUUUCAUGUCAUCAUGAUAAAGUCUGCUGGGAAUAUAAAUUUGUCAACCUCCACUAAAAUAUCUUCAACAAUCCUCAUUAUGUACUUGAUUGAUCUGUUUGCCAACUAUAGUAUAAUUGAAGUAGCUUUUGCUUUCCCUAAAUCUAGUUUCCUAAAAAGAGACAAAGGCGUUAAAUUAACAAUUGCUUCUAAAUCACAUGAUGCCUAUUCGAUGCGUUUAUUACCAAUGCAACAAGGAAUAGUAAAACUUCUUGGAUCUUUUAAUUUUGGUGGUAAGUUGUUUUUGAAGUAUGAUCAUCAUUACCAUUUCAUUAUCUUUUAGCUUCCUUUUGUUUAGCAAUACGUCCUUCAUAAAUUUCGCAUACUUGGGCAUUUGGGCUAAGGCUUUUGCAAAUGGUACAUUGAUGUGAAUCUUUCUGAACACCUCCAAACACUUUGCGAACUACUUAUCAAGUUUGUAUUUUUGCAAUUUUUAUGAGAAUGGUAUGUAUUUCUUGAUAGCAAUGGUUGCCUUAAAUUGUAGACCAUCUGAUAUAUCUACCUAAAUUUCCUCUAUUAAGUUGAUACACGUGUUCCUCACUCAUAGUAGAAACUUUUUUUGUGGUAAUAGUUGGUCUUUUCAAUGUUAUUUCUGGUAAUUGAACUUUUAUUCGAGUAGUGAUGGCAUGUAUUUGUUCUUUAGGAUUUGCUUUUGUAUUGCUUGGUAAAGUCCCUUGAGUUUUGCCUACUAGUGCAGUUACCACCUGACCCAUUCGAUAUUCCAAAAUUUUAAUUGUAGCAAGAUGGUUUUGAAGAAUAGUUUUAUCUUAGUAAUCUUCCGAUUCAAUAAUUCCACAACAGAUGACCUUGUAGGUUGCUAUUACUGUUGUUGAAACUCCAGCUGUCUUACUUGGAAAUUAUCUCCCUAUCCUUAUCCUUGAUUAUUAGUCCACGAGAAAUUUGGGUGAUUCCUCUACUCUGGAUUAUAUGUGUUGGAAUACUGAUUGUUUUGUUGCCACUAAAAGUUUUGCGUUUAACUAAAGUCCUUGGAUUGCUUCAUUUGCAUGGAGGCUAUAGGACAAAUUUAAGCAGUAUGAUCUGCCCUACAACCUGUGCAAAUGGUGUUGGCUGGUAUACCAUGCUCACAUUCCGAAUAAGGCUGUCUAACUUCUCUGUCAAUGAUUUCAUUUGGGUUACUAAUCAUGUAGCGAAGUCAAUGUUGUAAAUUCAUGCUAUUUUCCUUGACACACCCUGUCUAUUACCACAUAGACUGAUUUUCUAUUAUUUUCUCAAAAAGAUUUGAGGCGUUGUCUAAGGGAAUAUCCAUGAUUGAUCCUCUUGUUAUAGUGUCGACCAUGUUAUGGUAUUCAAU